This 307-nucleotide unclassified non-coding RNA is filed under the name plant metagenome. Its description in RNAcentral is "partial contains 5.8S ribosomal RNA, internal transcribed spacer 2, and large subunit ribosomal RNA". The stretch from base 1 to 106 matches the Rfam family "5.8S ribosomal RNA", at positions 50 to 154 of the family's 154-position model. The record is from RNAcentral.
GAAAUGCGAUAAGUAAUGCGAAUUGCAGAAUUUCUGUGAAUCAUCGAAUCUUUGAACGCACAUUGCGCCCGCCAGUAUUCUGGCGGGCAUGCCUGUCCGAGCGUCAUUUCAACCAUCAAGCCCCCGGGCUUGUGUUGGGGACCUGCGGCUGCCCGCAGGCCCUGAAAACCAGUGGCGGGCUCGCUGUCACACCGAGCGUAGUAGCAAUCACCUCGCUCAGGGCGUGCUGCGGGUUCCGGCCGUUAAACAGCCUUACAAAACCCAAGGUUGACCUCGGAUCAGGUAGGAAGACCCGCUGAACUUAAGC